CCUACGGGAGGCAGCAGUGGGGAAUAUUGGACAAUGGGGGGAACCCUGAUCCAGCGACGCCGCGGGAGUGAAGAAGUAUUUCGGUAUGUAAAGCUCUAUCAGCAGGGAAGAAAGAAAUGACGGUACAUGACUAAGAAGCCCCGGCUAACUACGUGCCAGCAGCCGCGGUAAUACGUAGGGGGCAAGCGUUAUCCGGAUUUACUUGGGGUAAAGGGAGCGUAGACGGCGAUGCAAGUCUGAAGUGAAAGGCGGGGGCCCAACCCCCGGACUGCUUUGGAAACUGUAUGGCUGGAGUGCAGGAGAGGUAAGUGGAAUUCCUAGUGUAGCGGUGAAAUGCGUAGAGAUUAGGAGGAACACCAGUGGCGAAGGCGGCUUACUGGACUGUAACUGACGUUGAGGCUCGAAAGCGUGGGGAGCAAACAGGAUUAGAUACCCGAGUAGUC
Molecule: ribosomal RNA, 443 nt
Filed under: uncultured bacterium
Lineage: Bacteria
Description: partial 16S ribosomal RNA
Rfam family: Bacterial small subunit ribosomal RNA
Source: RNAcentral